UCCAGGCAUGGUGGUGCACGCCUGUAAUCUCAAUAGCUUGGGAGGCUGAGGCAGGAGGAUCAUGAGUUUAAAGCCAGCCUUAGCAAGGCACUAAGAAACUCAGUGAGACCUUGUCUCUA
Molecule: small RNA, 119 nt
Filed under: Marmota monax (woodchuck)
Lineage: Eukaryota; Metazoa; Chordata; Mammalia; Rodentia; Sciuridae
Source: RNAcentral